This is a long non-coding RNA of Xiphophorus hellerii (green swordtail), 424 nucleotides long. RefSeq lists it as uncharacterized. The transcript is spliced from 2 exons. NCBI's taxonomy places the organism in Eukaryota, Metazoa, Chordata, Actinopteri, Cyprinodontiformes, Poeciliidae. The record is from RefSeq and is a predicted model, not a curated record.
CGAACAGGCUGUAGAUGCUGGUGACCGAGAGGGAUCCCGCCUUAAACUCCUCGGUGAAGAUAAACUCUGCAAACCUGUGGGACAAAGAGAAGGACACAGAAAGAGAUGGAUGAUGAAAUGAUGAGUAAUAUAAAAAAUUAAUGAAAUCUGUCUAUAUUUAGAAAGUGAUCCUGCUGCCUAAUAGUGUAAAUCAGCUGGUGUAUUUCUAACAGAUGACCUACAAAAAGGUUUCUCCUCAUCAGGAAUAACACAAAACAUAUCAGUAUUGUGUUAUGUGUUUUUAAAAACUUCAGUUCAUAUAUCUGUAUUGUGAAAACUAAAAUGAAAGUCAGGAAAAAAACGUUUUGCUAUUUUGCACUAUGAGCUGAUAUGUGGUACAAUCAGUUCCCAGCAUAUUGGGGAAAUAAAUUUUACUGACAACUUG